Molecule: ribosomal RNA, 397 nt
Filed under: Nesoenas mayeri (pink pigeon)
Lineage: Eukaryota; Metazoa; Chordata; Aves; Columbiformes; Columbidae
Description: partial small subunit ribosomal RNA
Rfam family: Bacterial small subunit ribosomal RNA
Source: RNAcentral
GCCUGGCCCUAAAUCUCGAUGCUCUAUACAACCAAAGCAUCCGCCUGAGAACUACGAGCACAAACGCUUAAAACUCUAAGGACUUGGCGGUGCCCCAAACCCACCUAGAGGAGCCUGUUCUAUAAUCGAUAACCCACGAUACACCCGACCACUUCUUGCCAAAACAGCCUACAUACCGCCGUCGCCAGCUCACCUUUUCUGAGAGUACCACAGUGAGCACAAUCGCCCCAACCACGCUAACAAGACAGGUCAAGGUAUAGCCUAUGAAGUGGGAGAAAUGGGCUACAUUUUCUAGCUUAGAAAACCUCACGAAAAGGGGUAUGAAACAGCCCCUAGAAGGCGGAUUUAGCAGUAAAGCAGGAUAAUACAAGCCUCCUUUAAGCCGGCUCUGAGGCAC